Molecule: non-coding RNA, 76 nt
Organism: Talaromyces islandicus
Lineage: Eukaryota; Fungi; Ascomycota; Eurotiomycetes; Eurotiales; Trichocomaceae
Source: the annotation of a GenBank genome assembly
AACCUAGUGGCGUAACGGUAGCGCGUCUCUUUCCUAUAAUAGGAGAAGGUUGUAGGUUCGAUUCCUACCUUGGUUA